UGGGGUAUAGCCAAGUGGUAAGGCAUCAGAUUCUGAUUCUGAGUAUCGUAGGUUCAAAUCCUAUUACCCUAGCCA
Molecule: transfer RNA, 75 nt
Filed under: Clostridium vincentii
Lineage: Bacteria; Bacillati; Bacillota; Clostridia; Eubacteriales; Clostridiaceae
Description: tRNA-Gln
Rfam family: tRNA
About the family: Transfer RNA (tRNA) molecules are approximately 80 nucleotides in length.
Source: RNAcentral